Molecule: ribosomal RNA, 1482 nt
Filed under: uncultured bacterium
Lineage: Bacteria
Description: bacterial SSU rRNA
Rfam family: Bacterial small subunit ribosomal RNA
Source: RNAcentral
GCUUAGAGUUUGCUCCUGGCUCAGAACGAACGCUGGCGGCAGGCUUAACACAUGCAAGUCGAGCGCCCCGCAAGGGGAGCGGCAGACGGGUGAGUAACGCGUGGGAACAUACCCUUUGGUUCGGAAUAACUCAGGGAAACUUGAGCUAAUACCGGAUACGUCCGUAAGGAGAAAGAUUUAUCGCCAAAGGAUUGGCCCGCGUCCGAUUAGCUAGUUGGUGAGGUAACGGCUCACCAAGGCUACGAUCGGUAGCUGGUCUGAGAGGAUGAUCAGCCACAUUGGGACUGAGACACGGCCCAAACUCCUACGGGAGGCAGCAGUGGGGAAUUUUGGACAAUGGGGGCAACCCUGAUCCAGCCAUACCGCGUGAGUGAAGAAGGCCUUCGGGUUGUAAAGCUCUUUCAGCCGGAAAGAAAUCGUGCAGGUUGAUAACCUGUAUGGAUGACGGUACCGGAAGAAGAAGCACCGGCUAACUACGUGCCAGCAGCCGCGGUAAUACGUAGGGUGCGAGCGUUAAUCGGAAUUACUGGGCGUAAAGCGUGCGCAGGCGGUUUUGUAAGACAGACGUGAAAUCCCCGGGCUUAACCUGGGAACUGCGUUUGUGACUGNCAGGCUAGAGUGUAGCAGAGGGGGGUAGAAUUCCACGUGUAGCAGUGAAAUGCGUAGAUAUGUGGAGGAAUACCGAUGGCGAAGGCAGCCCCCUGGGCUAACACUGACGCUCAUGCACGAAAGCGUGGGGAGCAAACAGGACUAGAUACCCUGGUAGUCCACGCCCUAAACGAUGUCAACUAGGUGUUGGGGAAGGGGACUUCUUUAGUACCGCAGCUAACGCGCUAAGUUGACCGCCUGGGGAGUACGGUCGCAAGAUUAAAACUCAAAGGAAUUGACGGGGACCCGCACAAGCGGUGGAUUAUGUGGAUUAAUUCGAUGCAACGCGAAAAACCUUACCUACCCUUGACAUGCCAGGAAGAUUUCAGAGAUGAGAUUGUGCCCGAAAGGGAACCUGGACACAGGUGCUGCAUGGCUGUCGUCAGCUCGUGUCGUGAGAUGUUGGGUUAAGUCCCGCAACGAGCGCAACCCUUGUCAUUAAUUGCCAUCAUUCAGUUGGGCACUUUAAUGAGACUGCCGGUGAUAAACCGGAGGAAGGUGGGGAUGACGUCAAGUCCUCAUGGCCCUUAUGGGUAGGGCUUCACACGUAAUACAAUGGUCGGUACAGAGGGUUGCCAACCCGCGAGGGGGAGCCAAUCCCAGAAAGCCGAUCGUAGUCCGGAUUGUAGUCUGCAACUCGACUACAUGAAGUCGGAAUCGCUAGUAAUCGCGGAUCAGCAUGUCGCGGUGAAUACGUUCCCGGGUCUUGUACACACCGCCCGUCACACCAUGGGAGUGGAAUCUGGCAGAAGUAGGUAGCCUAACCGCAAGGAGGGCGCUUACCACGCUGGGUUUCAUGACUGGGGUGAAGUCGUAACAAGGUAACCGUAAAGC